This 500-nucleotide ribosomal RNA is filed under the name uncultured Glomeromycotina. RNAcentral describes it as "partial small subunit ribosomal RNA". It matches the Rfam family "Eukaryotic small subunit ribosomal RNA", at positions 591 to 1092 of the family's 1831-position model. The record is from RNAcentral. Lineage: Eukaryota; Fungi; Glomeromycota.
CCAAUAGCGUAUAUUAAAGUUGUUGCAGUUAAAAAGCUCGUAGUUGAAUUUCGGGAUCAAUACGUCGGUCGUGCCUCUGGUAUGUACUGGUGUUAUUGAUUUCUCCCUUCUGAUGAACCAUGAUGUCAUUAAUUUGGUGUUGUGUGGAGUCAGGACUGUUACUUUGAAAAAAUUAGAGUGUUUAAAGCAGGCUCACGCUUGAAUACAUUAGCAUGGAAUAAUGAAAUAGGACGUUCGAUCCUAUUUUGUUGGUUUCUAGGAUCAACGUAAUGAUUAAUAGGGAUAGUUGGGGGCAUUAGUAUUCAAUUGUCAGAGGUGAAAUUCUUGGAUUUAUUGAAGACUAACUACUGCGAAAGCAUUUGCCAAGGAUGUUUUCAUUAAUCAAGAACGAAAGUUAGGGGAUCGAAGACGAUCAGAUACCGUCGUAGUCUUAACCAUAAACUAUGCCGACUAGGGAUCGGAUGAUGUUAAUUUUUUAAUGACUCAUUCGGCGCCUUACG